CAUUUCAUAGCUAUCUGGGGUAUCACCGCUCAAACAGGGCAAGCACCAAAUGACCCAGCUUUCAUGUCUUUGCAGGGGAAAAUCAAGCCUUUUAACAUGGGGCCAUAAUCCAAAGGCAACAGGCGAGCAACCAGGCUUCUCCAAUGCAAUGUGGUGAGAUUGGUCUCAUCACAACCACACACGAGAAGGAUUUGGGAAUUGUUAUAGACAACAAAUUAGGCAGCAAUAUGCAAU
Pelobates cultripes (western spadefoot toad) is the source of this 234-nucleotide non-coding RNA. NCBI's taxonomy places the organism in Eukaryota, Metazoa, Chordata, Amphibia, Anura, Pelobatidae. The record is from the annotation of a GenBank genome assembly.